GGGAUAUUUUUUUCCCUAGCAUCCCACGUACCCCACCCCUAAAGUCAAUUUGACUUAUCUUUAUUUUGCUGCAUCUGAAGUCCAGCAACUCACUUUCCUCUUUCUCUACUCCUUUCUCCCCUUUCUUUGUUCUUCUUUCCUCUUCCCUUCUUACACGGCAACAUCUCUCUCUUCCUUUCUCACCAAAAAUUCUAGUUUCUUUAAAGAUAAAUUAAACAAUUAGCCUUAAGGUUUCAUCUUCAAAGUGUGUGGGUGUUACCAGUAUCCAAGUCUAAGCUCCUUCAACUUUAGGCUUUCGGUUCCUCUACUUUCAGGUAAGGGAUAAGUUAUAUGAGCAUUUGGUAAGUCAUAAGGUUAUUUUAAAGUAUAUUAUGCAUUAAAAUGUUUUUGAUUAGAGAUAUGACAUGUAAUCAUUAUUCUGACAAAAAUAUGUUCGUGAGCUUUUGAAACCUUAUGUAUAUGAUUUUAGCAUAUUAAUGCUAUUACUGAUUCCGCGAACAUGAUGUUUAAAGAAAAGAAUGAAAAUGCUAUUAUCAUGAAAUGUCAUGCAAAACAAGAAAUUUCAGUAUGAUGUAAGAUAUGAAAUGUUUUCAGGUUAUGUCUUCUGGUAAUCUGAACUCAGCCAGUAGGGGUUAAUUAUUGGCUUUCCAUGGAAAAAAAAAAAUGUUAUCUGUUUGGUCAUUUAAAGUAGAGGAAAUGGGGUUGCCCGUAACUCUAAUCUGAAUAAGGCCUUCUCCCCAAUGUGUACGGAUGGUGGGGAGGAACAAAAUCUGGAGGGGAUGUGCCAUCAGGCCUCCUAAAGGGGACAAUAUCAUACACACGGGGGCACCCAAAUGUGAUGAGACCUUCUCUGUACAGCUUAUCAGAUAUGGACUAACCAAUAUGAUAUGAACAGCUAUGUUAUGUUAUUAAUCAUGAGAGAAUUAUUUUGUUUAAAUACAUUAUGAAAAGUUAAAAGCUCUCAUGAAAAUAAGAAGUUUCUGAUGAAAAGAAAGCUGUUCAUUAAAGAUAAAAGUUUAUGAAGUUCUAUUGUGCUAUAAAGAUAAAGUUUCUGAUGAAAGUACAAGUUUAUGUUUAAAAGUUAUCAGAUAUCUAUUUUUAUGAAACGUUAAGUUUUAUGAUCAUGAAAGUUAUAGUAUUCUAUGAAAAGAAGUUUAUAAAGAAAAGUUUUCUUAUCAGUCAAGAUGUUUCUAGUUUAAUACAAAGUUGCCGAUUAUCUGAUUUAAGUUAAAAUAAUUAUUUUGUAAUGAGAAUAUAUAUAUAUGGUGACUUUGUAGGAAAUGAAAGAAAUUUAAUCCGAAAGGUUUGGUAAUGUUAACCUAAUAAGAAAAGGAGAACAAUUGUUUUCUAUGAAGAGCGUAUAAGUUAUUAUUAUGAAUAGUAUUAAAUACUAUGCAUGAAAAGAUGUUCUCCUAUUCGAAUAUUCAUAGAAUGAAAUGAUCUGAUUUACAUGCAUCCUUAUUGAAUUCUUGUAUAUCUUACCUUUACUGAACUGUGUAGCUCACCCCUUCCACUCUUUCAGUUAGCAGGUUUUAUUUUGGAGCAGAGGGAGUCUUAGUCGAGUUUGGAAGGAGCUGAUUUUAGUUUUAUAUGUAUAGAUCCUAAACUAGCAUUCUGACGUUUAGCGUUAUAGUUGUUGUGUAUUCUAGGAUCAAAUGAAAGUUGUGUACCUGAAAGUAUUAAAAGAUAUAUUAUGUAAGGAUGGAAAUCAAAUGACUGGUGGAUUAUGUUA
This is a long non-coding RNA of Quercus robur (English oak), 1732 nucleotides long. RefSeq lists it as uncharacterized. The record is from RefSeq and is a predicted model, not a curated record. NCBI's taxonomy places the organism in Eukaryota, Viridiplantae, Streptophyta, Magnoliopsida, Fagales, Fagaceae. The transcript is spliced from 2 exons.